Molecule: ribosomal RNA, 1436 nt
Filed under: uncultured organism
Description: partial small subunit ribosomal RNA
Rfam family: Bacterial small subunit ribosomal RNA
Source: RNAcentral
GUCGGCGUGCUUAACACAUGCAAGUCGAACGGAAAGGCCCUGCUUUUGUGGGGUGCUCGAGUGGCGAACGGGUGAGUAACACGUGAGUAACCUGCCCUUGACUUUGGGAUAACUUCAGGAAACUGGGGCUAAUACCGGAUAGGAGCUCCUGCUGCAUGGUGGGGGUUGGAAAGUUUCGGCGGUUGGGGAUGGACUCGCGGCUUAUCAGCUUGUUGGUGGGGUAGUGGCUUACCAAGGCUUUGACGGGUAGCCGGCCUGAGAGGGUGACCGGCCACAUUGGGACUGAGAUACGGCCCAGACUCCUACGGGAGGCAGCAGUGGGGAAUAUUGCACAAUGGGCGGAAGCCUGAUGCAGCAACGCCGCGUGCGGGAUGACGGCCUUCGGGUUGUAAACCGCUUUCGCCUGUGACGAAGCGUGAGUGACGGUAAUGGGUAAAGAAGCACCGGCUAACUACGUGCCAGCAGCCGCGGUGAUACGUAGGGUGCGAGCGUUGUCCGGAUUUAUUGGGCGUAAAGGGCUCGUAGGUGGUUGAUCGCGUCGGAAGUGUAAUCUUGGGGCUUAACCCUGAGCGUGCUUUCGAUACGGGUUGACUUGAGGAAGGUAGGGGAGAAUGGAAUUCCUGGUGGAGCGGUGGAAUGCGCAGAUAUCAGGAGGAACACCAGUGGCGAAGGCGGUUCUCUGGGCCUUUCCUGACGCUGAGGAGCGAAAGCGUGGGGAGCGAACAGGCUUAGAUACCCUGGUAGUCCACGCUGUAAACGGUGGGUACUAGGUGUGGGGUCCAUUCCACGGGUUCCGUGCCGUAGCUAACGCUUUAAGUACCCCGCCUGGGGAGUACGGCCGCAAGGCUAAAACUCAAAGGAAUUGACGGGGCCCCGCACAAGCGGCGGAGCAUGCGGAUUAAUUCGAUGCAACGCGUAGAACCUUACCUGGGUUUGACAUGGAUCGGGAGUGCUCAGAGAUGGGUGUGCCUCUUUUGGGGUCGGUUCACAGGUGGUGCAUGGCUGUCGUCAGCUCGUGUCGUGAGAUGUUGGGUUAAGUCCCGCAACGAGCGCAACCCUUGUUCACUGUUGCCAGCACGUUAUGGUGGGGACUCAGUGGAGACCGCCGGGGUCAACUCGGAGGAAGGUGGGGAUGACGUCAAGUCAUCAUGCCCCUUAUGUCCAGGGCUUCACGCAUGCUACAAUGGCUGGUACAGAGAGUGGCGAGCCUGUGAGGGUGAGCGAAUCUCGGAAAGCCGGUCUCAGUUCGGAUUGGGGUCUGCAACUCGACCUCAUGAAGUCGGAGUCGCUAGUAAUCGCAGAUCAGCAACGCUGCGGUGAAUACGUUCCCGGGGCUUGUACACACCGCCCGUCAAGUCAUGAAAGUUGGUAACACCCGAAGCCGGUGGCCUAACCGUUGUGGGGGAGCCGUCGAAGGUGGGACUGGUGAUUAGGAC